CUCUCUCUCUCUCUCUCUCUCUCUCUCUACCCCUCUCCCUCCCUCUCCUGCACCGUCUUGUUCUUCAGAGAUUCGCAGCGGUGUCGUUUCGCAUGUUUGUCUUCGCGUGAUCUUCUCUGUGAGCUUCCUGCAUCACACUGAUUCCUGUGCUCGUUCUCUUCCAUCGUGUCAUAUCCACUCCCCUGGCGCAGCCGACCACUCUCAGCGAGGAUGACUAACACGCCAGCUUUCUCGCAGAUCCCCUACCUUCCUUUCGCCCAUUCGGUAAGCCCACGUCUCCUUGGUCUCCGUCUCUCUUUCUGUCUAUUCUAUCUAUCUAUCUAUCUAUCUAUCUAUCUAUAUAUCGGUUUGUCUGUCUCACAUUCAUCACCCUUCUUCUCUGGUAGGGGAGGUGGUGCGACGUGGGAACGUCUCACACUGCAAAAACCAGAUCCAAAAGGUAUUCUAGGGAGCUAAUCGGUGGCUUCUGGGAGGCUCCCAUACGCCGGCAGUGGCUAGUCAUGGCACCAAGGCUGGCGUCCCCACUCUGUUAGUCCUGAACUGGUGCUAUCCGAUCUGAGCUUCCUUCCCACAGUCGUCACCUCCGCCGCCUCUCCUCCCUCGCCUCUACCUUCAGCUGUCUUCAUUCUCUUCUCCCGCGCUCUCCGUUUGCACUCGGAAGCGGCCGUCUUCUUGACCUUGUAAGACCUUUUCUUGGCCUUGUAAGACCCCGCUCCGUAAUUCUCGUCCUACAUCUUCUCUCUACCUCUCCUUUCGCCCGCCCUGCUCUGCACCGGAGUCCAGCCGCCGUGGCCCCGGCCUCCCCUCCCCCCCUUCUCAUCUCCUUCUUCUGCCUAUCCCUCCUGAGCUGAUCGGACCAACUUUAAAUCCGAUUCCAUCGCAACUUUUCUUUGAUUUUGCUUCUCCUGGGAUCCCAUUCUGCUCUAUGAUACCUCUCUCAUUCAUGUUCUUUUCUCCUUUAUUUCAUCACACUUCUCCUGUGAUUUUGUUCUCUUAUAAGCCCAUUCUACUUGGUCUGUUUCUCUCUCGCGCCUUUCUUUUGUCUUCUUCUCGUGAACAUUGAGGGCAAGAUCGCAGUGUAAUUCACGGAAGUUUUAAAGAAAAUCUAAGAGCAGGGACAAGAAUAAUAACGAGGAGCAGCGUUGCCGCAGUCGCCAAGUUCGCCUUUGUUCAUACGCAGGAGCGUGUAGACGAUGGACGAGGGGGCGUGAAUAUUCCCCACGUGACUACUCGUGGCUGGGUGUACAUCGUAUUUAAGAUUGUGCCCCCUUCUCGCAUUGUCGUCUUCUCUGAGAGGUCGUCGAUGUGAGACGUUAUAUUUGAUUAUUUACUUGCUGCGGCAAAGUGCUUAUGGAUUUUGCGUCUCUUGCGGAUUGAUUCCCACUUGGCAUCUUGCGGGAAGGAGGAACCCUCAUCAACGCAGCGCCAUGUCACAGGAGAAGACUGAGAUCUAAAUUGGGUGGGAGUUGUGGUGUUGUUCAUGGCCUAAUGGGGCUGCUGAUGGUCAGACAGUGAGAGUAUGAUAUAUAUAUAUAUAUAUAUAGAUAUAUAUAUGAGAGAGAGAGAGAGAGAGAGAGCUUUUCUAGGAGAUGGGGC
This 1596-nucleotide long non-coding RNA is filed under the name Spirodela polyrhiza (greater duckweed). Its description in RNAcentral is "long non-coding RNA (SPOL_LNC000239)". Lineage: Eukaryota; Viridiplantae; Streptophyta; Magnoliopsida; Alismatales; Araceae. The record is from RNAcentral.